CCGGUUGAUCCUGCCAGAGGUUACUGCUAUCGGGGUCCGACUAAGCCAUGCGAGUUGAGAGGGGUAAGCCCUCGGCAUACUGCUCAGUAACACGCGGAUAACCUGCCCUUGGGUCCGGGAUAACCCCGAGAAACUGGGACUAAUACCGGAUAGAUCAGAGAAACUGGAAUGUUCUCUGGUCCAAAACUCCGGUGCCCAAGGAUGGGUCUGCGGCCUAUCAGGUAGUAGUGGGUGUAACGUACCUACUAGCCAGCGACGGGUAAGGGUUGUGAGAGCAAGAUCCCUGAGAUGGAUUCUGAGACAUGAAUCCAGGCCCUACGGGGUGCAGCAGGCGCGAAAACUUUACACUGCGGGAAACCGCGAUAAGGGGACCUCGAGUGCCAGGUUACAAAUCUGGCUGUCGUGAUGCCUAAAAAGCAUUGCAUAGCAAGGGCCGGGCAAGACCGGUGCCAGCCGCCGCGGUAACACCGGCGGCUCGAGUGGUAACCGUUAUUAUUGGGUCUAAAGGGUCUGUAGCCGGCCGGAUAAGUCUCUUGGGAAAUCUGGCAGCUUAACUGUCAGGCUUUCAGGAGAUACUGUCUGGCUCGAGGCCGGGAGAGGUGAGAGGUACUUCAGGGGUAGGGGUGAAACCUUGUAAUCCUUGAAGGACCACCAGUGGCGAAGGCGUCUCACCAGAACGGACCUGACGGCAAGGGACGAAAGCUAGGGGCACGAACCGGAUUAGAUACCCGGGUAGUCCUAGCCGUAAACGAUACUCGCUAGGUGUCGGCCACGGUGCGACCGUUGUCGGUGCCGUAGGGAAGCCGUGAAGCGAGCCACCUGGGAAGUACGGCCGCAAGGCUGAAACUUAAAGGAAUUGGCGGGGGAGCACCACAACGGGUGGAGCUUGCGGUUUAAUUGGAUUCAACGCCGG
Molecule: ribosomal RNA, 913 nt
Filed under: uncultured archaeon
Lineage: Archaea
Description: bacterial SSU rRNA
Rfam family: Archaeal small subunit ribosomal RNA
Source: RNAcentral